Long non-coding RNA from Gopherus evgoodei (Goodes thornscrub tortoise), 257 nucleotides. RefSeq lists it as uncharacterized. Lineage: Eukaryota; Metazoa; Chordata; Testudines; Testudinidae. The record is from RefSeq and is a predicted model, not a curated record. The transcript has 3 exons.
CUCCUCCUCUCCGGAGCCCGGCUGGGGCAGCGCCCACCCACCUCCGAGCGGCCCCGGAGAGGCUGAGCCUCCCACGCGGGGAGGGACGGGGUAAACUGAGGCAUAGUGACUUGUGCAAGGUCAGCUGGAGAGCGAUGGAAGGACCCCAGGAAUUCUAGAACCUCCGUGCUGCUAACUGUCAUAAUUUUUUGCCCCCUUCCCGAAACCAGACCACUGGUGACACGAGCACCUUCUCUGCAGCUUCAAGCCUAUGAGCA